GCACAUAAAAUUGCAGGACGACCCUGUCCAUGCUAGCUAGCUACCUGCACCAGCUGCGCUAUGAACAUUUUAAUAUACUCUAGCUAGUAACUAGUAAUAAUGAAAAUCAAAGAUAUGGCAGCAGUAGUAUAGUGUCAGGAAUGCAUGAGCUAUGGAUCUUCAUAUCAACUCCUUUCCCACUUUAUAUACCUCAUUCUCUUCUCUCCAUACCUCUCAUUCACUCUCACUCUCUAACCAGUACUACUACUACUACUAUACAACUCUCUCCACCAAUUCCACCUUCAUCUUCCUCAUAUCUCAAUCAUCACAACUCAACAAAAAUAUAUUAGCCAUAUUCAUAUGUUUGUUUGAUUUGUAAAAAAAAAAGAAAGGAUCUUUUGAUUUAGACACACACAAAUUCUAUCACCUUAGGAUGAAAUUAAAUAGAGAUUGUUUAGUCUAAUUAGGAUUUAUUUAGUUAAUUUGUUGAUGUUAAGGUGGGAUCAUCAUCUUCAUGCAUACAUUUGAGUAUGUGGCUGACUCCCUGUAUGCCAUAUACUACUGCGUAGUAUUACUGCUUCAUUUCUAGACUGCAUG
RNAcentral lists this long non-coding RNA (576 nucleotides) under Trifolium pratense (red clover). RNAcentral's name for it is "long non-coding RNA (TPRA_LNC000423)". Lineage: Eukaryota; Viridiplantae; Streptophyta; Magnoliopsida; Fabales; Fabaceae. The record is from RNAcentral.